AUGUCGUGAUGAUGGCACUUUCGUAAUAACUCCUUUAACUGCUCUCGUGCCUUAUAUAAAGAUUCUUCGCCAAGUUGCUGAAAUGAAAUGAUUUCCUUUCAGAUUUU
Molecule: non-coding RNA, 107 nt
Organism: Gossypium raimondii (Peruvian cotton)
Lineage: Eukaryota; Viridiplantae; Streptophyta; Magnoliopsida; Malvales; Malvaceae
Source: Rfam